UACGAGUGCCUCAAGCGUUAUCCGGAAUCAUUGGGCGUAAAGGUUGUGUAGGUGGUCAUAUUAGUCUUCUGUUAAAUUCUUCGGCUUAACCGGGGACCUGCGGAGGAAACGGUAUGACUAGAGGAUGCGAGGGGUCUGCGGAACUCAUAGUGUAGCGGUGAAAUGCGUUGAUAUUAUGGGGAACACCAAAAGCGAAGGCAGCAGACUGGAGCACUCCUGACACUGAAACAAGAAAGCGUGGGUCGCGAAUGGG
This 253-nucleotide ribosomal RNA is filed under the name uncultured bacterium. RNAcentral describes it as "partial 16S ribosomal RNA". It matches the Rfam family "Bacterial small subunit ribosomal RNA", at positions 524 to 776 of the family's 1533-position model. The record is from RNAcentral.